RNAcentral lists this ribosomal RNA (347 nucleotides) under uncultured bacterium. Its description in RNAcentral is "bacterial SSU rRNA". It matches the Rfam family "Bacterial small subunit ribosomal RNA", at positions 8 to 349 of the family's 1533-position model. The record is from RNAcentral.
AGAGUUUGAUCAUGGCUCAGGAUGAACGCUAGCUACAGGCUUAACACAUGCAAGUCGAGGGGCAGCAUGUUGGUUGCUUGCAACCAAUGAUGGCGACCGGCGCACGGGUGAGUAACGCGUAUCCAACCUACCCUUGUCCAUCGGAUAAUCCGUCGAAAGGCGGCCUAACACGAUAUGCGGUUCUCAGCAGGCAUCUAACGAGAACGAAAUGUGAAGGAGAAGGAUGGGGAUGCGUCUGAUUAGCUUGUUGGCGGGGUAACGGCCACCAAGGCGACGACCAGUAGGGGUUCUGAGAGGAAGGUCCCCCACAUUGGAACUGAGACACGGUCCAAACUCCAACGGGAGCA